Molecule: non-coding RNA, 521 nt
Filed under: Paenibacillus curdlanolyticus YK9
Lineage: Bacteria; Bacillati; Bacillota; Bacilli; Caryophanales; Paenibacillaceae
Description: Bacterial large subunit ribosomal RNA
Rfam family: Bacterial large subunit ribosomal RNA
Source: Rfam by way of RNAcentral
GGUUAAGCUACUAAGAGCGCACGGAGGAUGCCUAGGCACUAGGAGCCGAAGAAGGACGUGGCGAACAACGAAAUUGCCUCGGGGAGUCGUAAGCAGGCUUUGAUCCGGGGAUGUCCGAAUGGGGAAACCCGGCUGCGGUAAUGCGCAGUCACUUCUUACUGAAUACAUAGGUAAGUAGAGGCAUACCAGGGGAACUGAAACAUCUAAGUACCCUGAGGAAGAGAAACAAUAGUGAUUCCGUCAGUAGCGGCGAGCGAACGCGGAUUAGCCCAAACCUACGGACUUGUCCGUAGGGGUUGUAGGACGUCUCACAUGGAGUUACAAAGGUGUUGGUUAGGCGAAGAGGUCUGGAAAGGCCCGCUAGAAAAGGUAAAGCCCUGUAACCAGAAGCCAGCACCCUCCGAGACGGAUCCUGAGUACGGCGGGACACGUGAAACCCCGUCGGAAUCCGGCAGGACCAUCUGCCAAGGCUAAAUACUCCCUAGUGACCGAUAGCGAAGCAGUACCGUGAGGGAAAGGUG